Molecule: ribosomal RNA, 1240 nt
Filed under: metagenome
Description: bacterial LSU rRNA
Rfam family: Bacterial large subunit ribosomal RNA
Source: RNAcentral
UGAAUACGAGACGCUAAGGCGUCGAAGUAGUGUAUGUCAUACUUCCAAGAAAAGCUUGCACUGUCAUAGAUAAAAAACGCCUGUACCAUAACCGACACAGGUGGGUAGGUAGAGUAUACUAAGGGGCGCGAGAUAACUCUCUCUAAGGAACUCGGCAAAAUAACUCCGUAACUUCGGGAGAAGGAGUGCCUUAUUCGUAAGGUUGCAAUAACAAGAUCCAAGCAACUGUUUAUCAAAAACACAGGUCUCCGCUAAGUCGUAAGACGAUGUAUGGGGGCUGACGCCUGCCCAGUGCCAGAAGGUUAAAGAAGUUGGUUAGCAAUUGCGAAGCUGAUAACUGAAGCCCUGGUGAACGGCGGCCGUAACAAUAACGGUCCUAAGGUAGCGAAAUUCCUUGUCGGGUAAGUUCCGACCCGCACGAAAGGCGUAAUGAUUUGGAUACUGUCUCGGAGAGGGGCUCGGUGAAAUAGACUUGUCUGUGAAGAUGCGGACUACCUGCACCAGGACAGAAAGACCCUAUGAAGCUUUACUGUAACUUGAAAUUGAAAUUGGACUUUAUUCGCGCAGUAUAGGUGGGAGGCGUUGAUUAUAAUCUUGUGGGAUUAUUGGAGCCAUCAGUGAGAUACCACUCUUGUAAUGUUAGAUUUCUAACUUUGAAUCAUUAUCUGGUCAAAGAACAGUUUCAGGGGCAGUUUGACUGGGGCGGUCGCCUCCUAAACGGUAACGGAGGCGUACAAAGGUUUCCUCUGAACGGUUAGAAAUCGUAUCUAGAGUGUAAAGGCAUAAGGAAGCUUGACUGUGAGACCUACAAGUCGAGCAGGGACGAAAGUCGGUCUUAGUGAUCUGACGGUACUGAGUGGAAAGGCCGUCACUCAACGGAUAAAAGUUACUCUAGGGAUAACAGGCUGAUCUCCCCCAAGAGUUCACAUCGACGGGGAGGUUUGGCACCUCGAUGUCGGCUCAUCGCAUCCUGGGGCGGUAGUACGUCCCAAGGGUUGGGCUGUUCGCCCAUGAAAGCGGUACGCGAGCUGGGUUCAGAACGUCGUGAGACAGCUCGGUCCAUAUCCGGUGUAGGCGUUAGAAUAUUGAGAGGAGCCUUCUUUAGUACGAGAGGACCGAGAAGGACAUACCUCUGGUGUACCAGUUAUCGUGCCAACGGUAAACGCUGGGUAGCUAUGUAUGGAGUGGAUAACCGCUGAAAGCAUCUAAGUGGGAAGCCCACCUCAAGAUAAGUAUUCCC